Molecule: ribosomal RNA, 449 nt
Filed under: uncultured bacterium
Lineage: Bacteria
Description: bacterial SSU rRNA
Rfam family: Archaeal small subunit ribosomal RNA
Source: RNAcentral
UCCCAGCUGUAAACGAUGCGGGCUAGGUGUCGGGGCGGCUACGAGCCGCUUCGGUGCCGCAGGGAAGCCGUUAAGCCCGCCGCUUGGGAAGUACGGCCGCAAGGCUGAAACUUAAAGGAAUUGGCGGGGGAGCACCACAAGGCGUGAAGCUUGCGGUUCAAUUGGAGUCAACACCGGAAACCUUACCGGGAGCGACAGCAGGAUGAAGGCCAGAUUGAAGGUCUUGCUAGACAAGCUGAGAGGAGGUGCAUGGCCGUCGCCAGUUCGUGCCGUGAGGUGUCCUGUUAAGUCAGGCAACGAUCGAGACCCGCGCUUCUAGUUGCUACCGAGGAAAGUUUCCAAGGAGCAAGACUAGAGGGACUGCCGCCGACGAGGUGGAGGAAGGAGCGGGCCACGGCAGGUCAGUAUGCCCCGAAUCUCCCGGGCCACACGCGAGCUGCAAUGGCAGG